UACGUAGGGGGCAAGCGUUGUCCGGAAUCAUUGGGCGUAAAGCGCGUGUAGGCGGCCACGUUAGUCCGCUCUGAAAGCCCGGGGCUCAACCCCGGGAGGCGGGUGGAUACUGCGUGGCUCGAGUCCGGAAGAGGCGAGUGGAAUUCCUGGUGUAGCGGUGAAAUGCGCAGAGAUCAGGAGGAACACCAAUGGCGAAGGCAGCUCGCUGGGACGUGACUGACGAGGAGACGCGAAAGCGUGGGGAGCAAACAGG
Molecule: ribosomal RNA, 253 nt
Filed under: uncultured bacterium
Lineage: Bacteria
Description: partial 16S ribosomal RNA
Rfam family: Bacterial small subunit ribosomal RNA
Source: RNAcentral